AGAGCGAACGCUGGCGGCAGGCCUAACACAUGCAAGUCGAGCGGCCGUAGCAAUACGGCAGCGGCAGACGGGAUAGUAACACGUGGGAACGCGCCCUUCGGUUCGGAAUAACUCAGGGAAACUUGAGCUAAUACCGGAUACGCCCUUACGGGGAAAGAUUUAUUGCCGAAGGAACGGCCCGCGUCCGAUUAGCUAGUUGGUGAGGUAAUGGCUCACCAAGGCGACGAUCGGUAGCUGGUCUGAGAGGAUGACCAGCAUCACUGGGACUGAGACACGGCCCAGACUCCUACGGGAGGCAGCAGUGGGGAAUAUUGGACAAUGGGCGCAAGCCUGAUCCAGCCAUGCCGCGUGGAUGAUGAAGGCCCUAGGGUUGUAAAGUCCUUUUAACGGGGAAGAUAAUGACGGUACCCGUAGAAUAAGCCCGGCUAACUUCGUGCCAGCAGCCGC
This 447-nucleotide ribosomal RNA is filed under the name uncultured bacterium. RNAcentral describes it as "SSU rRNA". It matches the Rfam family "Bacterial small subunit ribosomal RNA", at positions 26 to 518 of the family's 1533-position model. The record is from RNAcentral.